CCUACGGGUGGCUGCAGUGGGGAAUAUUGGACAAUGGGCGAAAGCCUGAUCCAGCCAUGCCGCGUGUGUGAAGAAGGCCUUCGGGUUGUAAAGCACUUUCAGUGGGGAAGAAAGCCUUGGGGCUAAUACCCUCGAGGAAGGACAUCACCCACAGAAGAAGCACCGGCUAACUCCGUGCCAGCAGCCGCGGUAAUACGGAGGGUGCGAGCGUUAAUCGGAAUUACUGGGCGUAAAGCGCGCGUAGGCGGUCUGAUAAGCCGGUUGUGAAAGCCCCGGGCUCAACCUGGGAACGGCAUCCGGAACUGUCAGGCUAGAGUGCAGGAGAGGAAGGUAGAAUUCCAGGUGUAGCGGUGAAAUGCGUAGAGAUCGGGAGGAAUACCAGUGGCGAAGGCGGCCUUCUGGACUGACACUGACGCUGAGGUGCGAAAGCGUGGGUAGCAAACAGGAUUAGAUACCCCUGUAGUC
This 465-nucleotide ribosomal RNA is filed under the name Vreelandella stevensii. RNAcentral's name for it is "partial 16S ribosomal RNA". It matches the Rfam family "Bacterial small subunit ribosomal RNA", at positions 338 to 795 of the family's 1533-position model. The record is from RNAcentral. Lineage: Bacteria; Pseudomonadati; Pseudomonadota; Gammaproteobacteria; Oceanospirillales; Halomonadaceae.